UUUAUUUUUGUGUUUAUUAAAUUGUUUGACAUCGUCAAUAUUUCUCUUAUCAGCUAUUAUUAAAAUUUUCAUAUCUGACAUUUUAUAAUCUGUAUGAUCUCUGUGAUUAAAUUUUUUCAGUCUGAUAGAUAUAUAUAGAAAUUUAUAUACAAUAUUGUAUUUGUUGGUUUAUAAGUCAGGGCAAUUUUUAAGACUUUUAAGGAAAAACUAUGUCUUAGAAGCUGAAAGUAAUAAUAUAACACAUACAAAAUAGAAAUAGUCAAGUAUAUAAAUGGAUACUGAAAUCAUGACAUGAUGCUAAAAUUGCAAUUGUGAUCAAGACUUAAAAAUGUAGCAUAAGCAAUACAAUGGAUAUACUGAAUAUCAUUUAUUUUGAGAGUGACAGCAGAACUAGUGAAAUGGAUGAUGACAAUUAUGACAAAAUUGAGGAUAAUGAUCAUCAUGUCAGUAAUAAAUUUGAAGUUGAUAAUAUUAAAAUAAUAAGAAUAAUAAUCCUAUAUUAUCCUUUAUUAAUUAUUUUGGAUUUAUUUUUAAGAAUAAAUUUUUUAAAAGUAGUUUUCUUAAAUUUGUCUUUCCAAAAUUAGGAUGUAUCUUCCAUGCUUCAGUGUUGUAUAAGCCAAUGGUAUAUAAUGCAUAUAGAAAUUAUACAUAUAUAUGUGUGUAUAAUUUCUGCAUUCAUUAUAUGAAUGUUGUUCGUUUUUAUAAAAAAUAUCACUAUUGUAGACUGAAUCUAAAAUCCAUCAUCACUCUUGAAUUGAAUGAAACAGUUGAAUGAAGAAGUGUAAUGUACUUAUGUUUCUUUCAUUGGUAUAAUGCAAUUUGUCAAUAGCGUGGUUAAUUUGUUCCAAGAUCCUUGACUUAAGCCAUAAAACAACUUAAGUCAAAUAAAUUCUUUAAAAAAUUAUAAGAAUUUAUAGAAUGUUUAUUAGACAUUCUAUAAAUUCUUAUAAAUAAUCCCAUAAUGCUACUAAUAACAUUUAUAAGCUUUUAAAGAAUUCUAUAAAUUAUUUUGCAUAUUUUAACAUUCAUUUUUAUGUGAUUUGCCUUUUUGUUGGUUUUUAGA
RNAcentral lists this long non-coding RNA (1063 nucleotides) under Androctonus crassicauda. Lineage: Eukaryota; Metazoa; Arthropoda; Arachnida; Scorpiones; Buthidae. The record is from RNAcentral.